GCGCAGCAGGCGCGAAAACUUUACAAUGCGAGAAAUCGUGAUAAGGGAACCCCGAGUGCCCGUAAAUUCGGGCUGUCCGCCAGUGUAAAUAACUGGUGAAGAAAGGGCCGGGCAAGACCGGUGCCAGCCGCCGCGGUAAUACCGGCGGCUCGAGUGGUGGCCACUAUUACUGGGCUUAAAGCGUCCGUAGCUGGAUUGUUAAGUCUCUUGGGAAAUCCACCGGCUCAACCGAUGGGCGUUCAGGAGAAACUGGCAAUCUAGGGACCGGGAGAGGUGAGAGGUACUCCAGGGGUAGGAGUGAAAUCCUGUAAUCCUUGGGGGACCACCUGUGGCGAAGGCGUCUCACUAGAACGGCUCCGACAGUGAGGGACGAAAGCUGGGGGAGCAAACCGGAUUAGAUACCCGGGUAGUCCCAGCUGUAAACGAUGCGCGUUAGGUGUAUCGGUGACCACGAGUCAUCGAGGUGCCGAAGGGAAACCG
Molecule: ribosomal RNA, 480 nt
Filed under: uncultured archaeon
Lineage: Archaea
Description: bacterial SSU rRNA
Rfam family: Archaeal small subunit ribosomal RNA
Source: RNAcentral